GGCGACGGUGUUAAGCAAAGAGCAAGUGAAAGGAAGGGAAGAGGAAGGCGCGGCUCAGAGGUUGGACUUGCGACAGCAACGAGGAGGCGCUUAAGCCUUGCCUUCGGAUUUAGGAAAGCCGCCUUUCCUCUCCCGGAGCUUCUUGUUUACAAUGACGAUUGGAUUUCCUCCAGAUGUCAACAGGGGCUAGGCCCGGUACACGGGAAUAAAGCAAGGGAAGGGAGUUUGGGUAAAAACUCCUAAUCCGAUUAGCGGCUAAUCUCUCAGAGUGGACGUUUCCUUUCUCUCGCCGGACAUGAGAUGAAGCGCGUUGGGUUAGGCCAGAAGGCUGAAGAUCCCCCUGAGCUUUUGAGAUGCUCCUGCAAAGCAAAACAUCUUCAGAUAUUCCUGAGAAGCAAAACAUCUUCAAAGAAAAACAAGAACGUCCAGUUGCCUCUUGAAAAAGCACUUUUGAGACAACCAUGACCUGAAUGACUGAGAAUCUCCAGAGAAAACUAGAUAAGAAUGGAUUUCCACACUAGUUUUAAUUUUGGUUUAACUUGUAAACCCAGCCAGUUUUGCUUAAUUUGAUAAGUGGUAACUGAUAAAAAAUUGGCUGUAAAUUCAUACAGAUUCAUUAAAAAGUUAAGUAACUUUGACCACAUUAUCAUCUUAAUUUAAUCAGAAACAUUGCUGUUGUUAUUUGCAGAGGGAGAAAAGAGGGAAGUCUGGAUUUGGAUCAAGAUGGUGACCAAGGGCUAAACUGCCUUUCCAGUCGGUUAUAUUAGCUUGACUCUUUAAUAAUGCAAAUGUUAAAAAUGUGAAUAGGGUCAGUUUUGGAAAUGUUUUUACCUACCAUCUGUACACAUAGUCCUUCACUUACAACUAGUAUUUUAAUGCCUGUUCAGUUAUGACAAUCUUGGAAAGGGUGCUUUAUGGGUCCUAAGCACUUCCAGAUGUUGUAAAACAUCACAUCGCCUUCCUCCCUCUUGGUCACAUGAGCAUAUUUUGAACAUUUACAACUGGUGAAGUAUCAUGCAGUCACAUGAUUACAAUUUGCAGUGGUUUGGGCCAAUUUCCUGUGGUUUUUUGCUAGUUUCCAAGGGAAUGGGUUCACAUUUAUAACCUCAUGAUUUACCACCAUCAUAAAAAGAGUUGUAAAAUCAGAUCCAGCCACAUGGAUGCCUUAACUUACAACCAUCAUAACUUACAACUGAAAUUAUGGUUCAAAUUUUCUACUUGUAUAUAUCUUUACUAAUGACACCACUAAGACUGAAUUAUUUCUAUUUCAAUGAGGUUCUUCAGUUAUAUAUAAAAGUUAAUACUGGUAGGAUUUCUCUUAAAUCAAGCUUGAUUUUUGAUUGCUAUAUAAAUAUAUAGAUAUUAUUUUCCUGGCAACUGCACGUAAACAGAUUUCUAGUGGCUCCUGCCCAGAUUUUUUACAUUGCUGAAUUUGUCUAAAACCUUAUGAUUUCCUGAUAGACUUUGAUGUAAUUUAUUGACCAGUUUAACUUUGUUUAGGUAUAGUAGAUGUUGCCUUUAUGAGAAGGAAGCAAGGAAAUCUAUAAGAAACAUAACAAAGCACAAGUUUAUACACAGCAUGAAAAUGUACAGUAAUUGUAAAAUGACGUUUCUUCAUUGCCUGCAAUAGAUAAGUGAGAUUCCUUCACAUCUAUUAUUGCAUAAAUAAUAAAGGAGCAGUUGUAUCGUUUGAGAAAAUGACUAAAGCAGUUUUCAGAGUUUUUUUCUUAUAAAAGUUAGCCCAGCUUAUAACAUAAUAAUCAUUAUGUUAUGGUUCCAGCCUUACCUAAAGCCAAUGCGUAAACUGGAAAGAGAAAGAGUCACAACAUGUCUCACUUAGAAGAUGUUCCAAUUAGGUAAGCAGGCAGGUUUAUAGUUUGGUGACUGCAACACAGAAUACUGGUUUGAAUGAAGCCUAGUUUACCUAUACCAUAGCUCGCAGGUUGAAUGUGUCAUGUGCUGGCCACGGCCAACGUCCAGUUUAGCAAAGGGGAGGGGGAGAAGUCCCGAUACAUGAUGAUGUGAGUUUGACAGCCGUGCCAUAUAUAAUAGUUAUUAGAAGUAAAAUACUUCUCAUAACUCAGCUCAUACUAUGGUAUGCGUUGAAUGCUUUCUUGAAUGUGCCAGUUAAUCUAAACUUAUAUUGUUACAGACUUGAUUCUCAAGUCUCAAUAGCAAUUUGUUAGAAUUAUGUCCAACAUUUUCUUUAGGCCCUCAAGGCAGCACACAUAAUAUUCCAAUUUUUCCAUAAAACAGCUGCUCUUUGAAGUGUGUUGGACUGAGAGAAAUCAUUUAUGUAUCCCAGUAAACCUUGAUUAAGGAUAGAAUCUGGAUCUUUUCUGCAUCAAACCAACAUUUGAGCUUAUACGCUAUAAACCAUUCAAGUAAUAUAUGACAACACUAUGGUUCAAUUUAUGUUUCAUAUUAAUCAAUAAUUAAACUUCUGGAAUUUUGUUCUUUUGGGUUUUUUUUCUUGUUUAUAAAGUAAAAUUGCAAUCACCAUAAAUCAUAAGAAAAUGCAUGUACUGUACAAUAAUUUUGAAGACUGAGAAAUGAUAAGAUCUUAAAAUUUUAGAUGUUCUUUGAACAUAAACUUUAAUUAAAAAUCUUUAAACCUCUCGCAUUUUAGUCAGCCAGGUGUCAGUUAAUUCAAAGACAUGAGUUUCCAUAAGAAAUUAUCUUGUUUUGAAAUCAUACACUAAUAUUUUUUUCUGAUACACUGCUUCCUUAUGCCUUAUUUAUCCAAAAUUCACACUGUAAACUUCCAAAACAUUUCCAGCUAUUUU
Molecule: non-coding RNA, 2786 nt
Organism: Thamnophis sirtalis
Lineage: Eukaryota; Metazoa; Chordata; Lepidosauria; Squamata; Natricidae
Source: RefSeq, a predicted model, not a curated record